This 449-nucleotide ribosomal RNA is filed under the name uncultured bacterium. Its description in RNAcentral is "partial 16S ribosomal RNA". It matches the Rfam family "Bacterial small subunit ribosomal RNA", at positions 29 to 523 of the family's 1533-position model. The record is from RNAcentral.
AACGAACGCUGGCGGCAUGCCUAACACAUGCAAGUCGAACGAGAUCUUCGGGUCUAGUGGCGCACGGGUGCGUAACGCGUGGGAAUCUGCCCUUUGGUUCGGAAUAACAGUUGGAAACGACUGCUAAUACCGGAUGAUGACGAAAGUCCAAAGGUUUAUCGCCCGAGGAUGAGCCCGCGUAGGAUUAGCUAGUUGGUGUGGUAAAGGCGCACCAAGGCGACGAUCCUUAGCUGGUCUGAGAGGAUGAUCAGCGACACUGGGACUGAGACACGGCCCAGACUCCUACGGGAGGCAGAAGUAGGGAAUAUUGGACAAUGGGCGAAAGCCUGAUCCAGCAAUGCGGAGUGAGUGAUGAAGGCCUUAGGGUUGUAAAGCUAUUUUACCCUGGAUGAUAAUGACAGUACCGGGAGAAUAAGCUCCGGCUAACUCCGUGCCAGCCGCCGCGGUAA